RNAcentral lists this ribosomal RNA (496 nucleotides) under uncultured bacterium. RNAcentral's name for it is "partial 16S ribosomal RNA". It matches the Rfam family "Bacterial small subunit ribosomal RNA", at positions 28 to 504 of the family's 1533-position model. The record is from RNAcentral.
GAUGAACGCUGGCGGCGUGCCUAAUACAUGCAAGUCGAGCGAACAGACGAGGAGCUUGCUCCUCUGACGUUAGCGGCGGACGGGUGAGUAACACGUGGAUAACCUACCUAUAAGACUGGGAUAACUUCGGGAAACCGGAGCUAAUACCGGAUAAUAUAUUGAACCGCAUGGUUCAAUAGUGAAAGACGGUUUUGCUGUCACUUAUAGAUGGAUCCGCGCCGCAUUAGCUAGUUGGUAAGGUAACGGCUUACCAAGGCGACGAUGCGUAGCCGACCUGAGAGGGGGUGAGCCGCCACGGGGGAAGGGAGACGGGCCCGAGACCCAUGGGGGGCACAGCUAGGGAAACUUUCGCACAGGGCGAAAACGUGACAGGGCAAAGCGGCGCGAGUGAGAAAGGGCUUCGGGUCUGGAAAAGCUCUUUUUUGGGGAAAAAAAAAGUGUAAAAAAAUCUGCGCGCCUCUAGGGGACCCAUAAAGAAAAACCCGCGUCAAAACGC